Molecule: ribosomal RNA, 460 nt
Filed under: uncultured bacterium
Lineage: Bacteria
Description: partial 16S ribosomal RNA
Rfam family: Bacterial small subunit ribosomal RNA
Source: RNAcentral
CCUACGGGAGGCAGCAGUGAGGAAUAUUGGUCAAUGGACGAGAGUCUGAACCAGCCAAGUAGCGUGAAGGAUGACUGUCCUAUGGGUUGUAAACUUCUUUUAUAUGGGAAUAAAACGUUCCACGUGUGGGAUUUUGUAUGUACCAUAUGAAUAAGGAUCGGCUAACUCCGUGCCAGCAGCCGCGGUAAUACGGAGGAUCCGAGCGUUAUCCGGAUUUAUUGGGUUUAAAGGGAGCGUAGGUGGAUUGUUAAGUCAGUUGUGAAAGUUUGCGGCUCAACCGUAAAAUUGCAGUUGAAACUGGCAGUCUUGAGUACAGUAGAGGUGGGCGGAAUUCGUGGUGUAGCGGUGAAAUGCUUAGAUAUCACGAAGAACUCCGAUUGCGAAGGCAGUUCACUGGACUGCAACUGACACUGAGGCUCGAAAGUGUGGGUAUCAAACAGGAUUAGAUACCCCUGUAGUC